UCAACCGGCGAACGGGUGCGUAACACGUGAGCGACCUGCCUCCGCGCGGGGGAUAGCCGGCCCAACGGCCGGGUAAUACCGCAUACGCUCCGGUCGGGGCAUCCCGACUUGAGGAAACUUCCGGGGCGCGGAGAGGGGCUCGCGGCCUAUCAGCUAGUUGGCGGGGUAACGGCCCACCAAGGCGGUGACGGGUAGCUGGUCUGAGAGGAUGGCCAGCCACAUUGGGACUGAGAGACGGCCCAG
This 243-nucleotide ribosomal RNA is filed under the name uncultured bacterium. RNAcentral's name for it is "partial 16S ribosomal RNA". It matches the Rfam family "Bacterial small subunit ribosomal RNA", at positions 91 to 334 of the family's 1533-position model. The record is from RNAcentral.